This 338-nucleotide ribosomal RNA is filed under the name uncultured Pseudomonadota bacterium. RNAcentral describes it as "bacterial SSU rRNA". It matches the Rfam family "Bacterial small subunit ribosomal RNA", at positions 29 to 351 of the family's 1533-position model. Lineage: Bacteria; Pseudomonadati; Pseudomonadota. The record is from RNAcentral.
AACGAACGCUGGCGGCGUGCUUAACACAUGCAAGUCGAACGUGAUUGAGGAGCUUGCUCCUCAUGAAAGUGGCGCACGGGUGAGUAACACGUGGAUAAUCUGCCUGGUGAUUUGGGAUAACACUUCGAAAGGGGUGCUAAUACCGAAUAAGCCCACAGUCUCUUCGGGGAGUGCGGGAAAAGGGGGCCUCUGUAUAUGCUCUUGUCACCAGAUGAGUCCGCGGCCCAUUAGCUAGUUGGUAGGGUAACGGCCUACCAAGGCGACGAUGGGUAGCUGGUCUGAGAGGAUGAUCAGCCACACUGGAACUGAGACACGGUCCAGACUCCUACGGGUGGCAG